AUAUCAGUAAGCGGAGGAAAAGAAACUAACAAGGAUUCCCUCAGUAACGGCGAGUGAAGUGGGAAGAGCUCAACUUUAAAAUCUGGGAGGAAUUUCCUCUCCGAAUUGUAGUUUAUAGAGGCGUUAUCUGAUCUAGUCAUCGUGCACAAGUCCUUUGGAAUAAGGCGUCACAGAGGGUGAGAACCCCGUUUGGGCACGAUCGGUUAGGUCUUCAUGAGGCGUCCCUGAGAGUCGAGUUGUUUGGGAAUGCAGCUCAAAGUGGGUGGUAAAUUCCUUCUAAAGCUAAAUAUUGGCCAGAGACCGAUAGCGCACAAGUA
RNAcentral lists this ribosomal RNA (317 nucleotides) under uncultured eukaryote. RNAcentral's name for it is "partial large subunit ribosomal RNA". It matches the Rfam family "Eukaryotic large subunit ribosomal RNA", at positions 40 to 350 of the family's 3401-position model. The record is from RNAcentral.